GGGGAUAUAGCUCAGUGGUAGAGCACAUGCUUGGCAUGCAUGAAGUCCUGAGUUCAAUCCCCAGUGCCUCCA
RNAcentral lists this transfer RNA (72 nucleotides) under Camelus bactrianus (Bactrian camel). It matches the Rfam family "tRNA". From Rfam's summary of the family: Transfer RNA (tRNA) molecules are approximately 80 nucleotides in length. RNAcentral also lists the same sequence under 2 other names. Lineage: Eukaryota; Metazoa; Chordata; Mammalia; Artiodactyla; Camelidae. The record is from Rfam by way of RNAcentral.